CUUGCUCUGAACUCCCAUUGACUGGACUAGACUAGACUCAGCUCUUCUUCCUCACUUUCACCUCUGCGAGACACAGCUCAUCAGACACUGAAAAACUAGAGCAGACAUUUGUCCUCGCUUAUCUGAGUGCUCUAUGGGGUUCACUUCAGAUCAUGUUAUACCAAAAACUCCAGAACCCCAAAUCUACAGAUGUUACCAGAAGCCAGAAGAAUAAUCCAAAGAACCGAUUACUGCCUUGCUUCCCUCUCCCUUUUCCCAUUCCUCCUUCUUUUUUCCCCUCCUCUCUCCCUUCAUUCAUCAAUAUGUAGCAAAAGCCCUACUCUGGGUCAGGCUCUUUGCAGGUCUGGGCAUCCCAAGAUGACCAAGGCACACUUCCUCCUGCAUGGAGCUCACAGUCCUGAGGGAAGACAGGGACUAAGAAGUUUCCAAACCAGGGAAAGAACGCCAACAUCAAAGUGUCCAUGGGGCCCAUGGGAGCAGAGAGGAGAACCUCUCCGUUCUGUUCAGCUGCAAGCCCAGCCCAUCUUCCGGGUCCACCUCAGAGACGUUUCCUCCGAGAAGCCCUCCCUGCUCCCAGCCGUGUCUCCGUCAUCUCUGUCUGGGUACAUGUCCCUCUUCUCCCGACCCUGUGGACUGCUCGAGAGCAGAGAUCCAAUCUUGCCGACAGCUGUGUCCCCACAGCGCUCAGUCAGCCCUUUCACCAUCCCCAAGCUGGGACCGUCCCCCUUACCCCGUCCAGCAGUUGACCCUUGCCUCCCAGAAGGUGAUUUUGCCUCCUUGGUUGAGAAGUCUAAACAGUGGUCUUGCAACACGAGGCGCAGGCAGCUGUGUGACCUUGGUGUGUUACUUCACCUCUCUGAGCCUUGGUCUUCUUCACCAGUAAAACAGCACCUGACUCCUGGGGCUGCAUUGAAGAGCAGAUGUGCUAAGCCUAGCCCGAUGCCUGACGCACAGUGACUAUUCAACGAAAGCUCACAGUGACAGAAAGAGGAAAUAGACCCAGCCUUAGUCUCAUGUUUCUCUCUGUUGCCGAAACCUGCUCCUGGACCCUUUCUCCCCAUUUUGCUGUUUGGUAAGUCCCACUCGGAGCAAUACUGCAGCUGCCCCAGCCAGGGGAGCCUCUGCCGUCAUUCAUCUGACCAGCCAUGCCCUUCAGAAGACCAGACCCAGGAAGCUGGCCCUGCGGGAUUCGGAAUCCAUGGUUGUCAGGAGGUCUUUGCCAAGACUGUGGGGAAGAUCCAUAGACAGCGACAACUUACGCAGUGCUACUUUGUCACAAAUGGGAAGCCUCUGGGGGCGUGGAGAGGGUUCUGCUUUCUGGAGGCCUUUGUAUGUUCCUGACUUGAGGGGGCCCCUUCCAGCAGGGGAGACCCGUGAGGUCCUGGGACACCCGCAGCAAGGAGUGCUCCUAGGCACUCGUGGCUGCUUCAGGGCCAGGCUGCUCUGCUCCCUGGCUCCUUCAUU
This 1464-nucleotide long non-coding RNA is filed under the name Equus asinus (donkey). Its description in RNAcentral is "lncRNA (ENSEASG00005031787.1)". Lineage: Eukaryota; Metazoa; Chordata; Mammalia; Perissodactyla; Equidae. The record is from RNAcentral.